This 253-nucleotide unclassified non-coding RNA is filed under the name uncultured Caryophanales bacterium. Its description in RNAcentral is "uncultured Bacillales bacterium contains 16S-23S intergenic spacer region". It matches the Rfam family "Bacterial small subunit ribosomal RNA", at positions 524 to 776 of the family's 1533-position model. The record is from RNAcentral. Lineage: Bacteria; Bacillati; Bacillota; Bacilli; Caryophanales.
UACGUAGGUGGCAAGCGUUGUCCGGAAUUAUUGGGCGUAAAGCGCGCGCAGGCGGUCCCUUAAGUCUGAUGUGAAAGCCCACGGCUCAACCGUGGAGGGUCAUUGGAAACUGGGGGACUUGAGUGCAGAAGAGGAAGGUAGAAUUCCCGGUGUAGCGGUGAAAUGCGUAGAGAUCGGGAGGAAUACCAGUGGCGAAGGCGACUCUCUGGUCUGUAACUGACGCUGAGGCUCGAAAGCGUGGGGAGCAAACAGG